ACUGCGGAGACAUUACCACUAUAAGUCGGGGGGAAACUCCGGUUUCCCCUGUCUGAACCCUUGUCUUUUGCGUACUAUUUGUUUCCUUGGUGGGCUUGCCUGCCGAUAGGACAACCAUUAAACCUUUUGUAAUUGCAAUCAGCGUCAGAAAAAAAUUAAUAAUUACAACUUUCAACAACGGAUCUCUUGGUUCUGGCAUCGAUGAAGAACGCAGCGAAAUGCGAAAAGUAGUGUGAAUUGCAGAAUUCAGUGAAUCAUCGAAUCUUUGAACGCACAUUGCGCCCCUUGGUAUUCCAUGGGGCAUGCCUGUUCGAGCGUCAUUUGUACCUUCAAGCUCUGCUUGGUGAUGGGUGUUUGUCCCGCUUUUUGCGUGGACUCGCCUCAAAGCAAUUGGCAGCCGGCGUACUAGCCUGGGAGCGCAGCACAUUUUGCGCAUCUUGUCUUGAACGCUUGCGUCCAUUAAGCAUAUAUUUUAACUCUUGACCUCGGAUCAGGUAGGGAUACCCGCUGAACUUAAGCAUAUCAAUAAGCGGAGGAAAAGAAACCAACAGGGAUUGCCCUAGUAACGGCGAGUGAAGCGGCAUCAGCUCAAAUUUGAAAUCUGGCUCUUUCAGGGUCCGAGUUGUAAUUUGCAGAGGGCGCUUUGGCGUUGGCAGCGGUCCAAGUUCCUUGGAACAGGACGUCACAGAGGGUGAGAAUCCCGUACGUGGUCGCUGGCCUUCGCCGUGUAAAGCCCCUUCGACGAGUCGAGUUGUUUGGGAAUGCAGCUCUAAAUGGGAGGUAAAUUUCUUCUAAAGCUAAAUACUGGCCAGAAACCGAUAGCGCACCAGUUAAAGUGAUCGAAAGAUGAAAAGCACUUUGGAAA
Molecule: unclassified non-coding RNA, 865 nt
Filed under: Neocucurbitaria sp. FMR 17840
Lineage: Eukaryota; Fungi; Ascomycota; Dothideomycetes; Pleosporales; Cucurbitariaceae
Description: sequence contains 18S rRNA gene, ITS1, 5.8S rRNA gene, ITS2
Rfam family: Eukaryotic large subunit ribosomal RNA (bases 481-865)
Source: RNAcentral